Molecule: ribosomal RNA, 253 nt
Filed under: uncultured bacterium
Lineage: Bacteria
Description: partial 16S ribosomal RNA
Rfam family: Bacterial small subunit ribosomal RNA
Source: RNAcentral
UACGGAGGGUGCAAGCGUUAUCCGGAUUUACUGGGUUUAAAGGGUGCGUAGGUGGGUAGGUAAGUCAGUGGUGAAAUCUUCGAGCUUAACUCGGAAACUGCCAUUGAUACUAUCAGUCUUGAAUACCGUGGAGGUCGGCGGAAUAUGUCAUGUAGCGGUGAAAUGCUUAGAUAUGACAUAGAACACCAAUUGCGAAGGCAGCUGACUACGCGAGUAUUGACACUGAGGCACGAAAGCGUGGGGAUCAAACAGG